UACGAAGGGAGCUAGCGUUGUUCGGAAUCACUGGGCGUAAAGCGCACGUAGGCGGACUUGUCAGUCAGGGGUGAAAUCCCGGGGCUCAACCUCGGAACUGCCUCUGAUACAGCAAGUCUUGAGUCCGGAAGAGGUGGGUGGAAUUCCUAGUGUAGAGGUGAAAUUCGUAGAUAUUAGGAAGAACACCGGUGGCGAAGGCGGCCCACUGGGCCGGUACUGACGCUGAGGUGCGAAAGCGUGGGGAGCAAACAGG
RNAcentral lists this ribosomal RNA (253 nucleotides) under uncultured bacterium. RNAcentral describes it as "partial 16S ribosomal RNA". It matches the Rfam family "Bacterial small subunit ribosomal RNA", at positions 524 to 776 of the family's 1533-position model. The record is from RNAcentral.